CUUCCUUGCGUCCGUGUGUUGUCAUGUCGUCGUGCCGGCGCGGUUUGAAUGGUGUUGUUAUACGCGUUUCAUAUUUCCAGACUGCAACGUGCUUAUGUGGAAUGGCACCGGGAUCAAGGAAAAUGAUGUAGCCUGCGUUGAUUUCCAGACUGGCAGUGUGCUUGUGAAGAAUGGCUUCGGUAUGUAGCUGCAUCUUUUUUACUCGUUGCUCGCUACACGGUCACCAUCCAUAUUCUUUAUCGCGGGGAUCAAUGGGAAGGAUCCGGUCUUCGUUGGGUACAAAUACCACUGUUUAGGUAGGUCUUAGGCAACAACUGUUUCGAUACGCCGAUAAAACUUUGCAGGUUAUGGUAUCUGGCAUCAGGAGGAGCUUGGGAAACGGAAUGCAGAUAACAGAUACUGAUUAACUGUCACUCCGUCGUUCGUUCUGCUAGGUUGAAGAUACGGGUAAUUGGUUAGCUCGUUACUCGAGCUUUGUGUCAUAUACGCACAUAGAUGUGCUAUUGCUUGCUUUGAGAGAAAUAAACGUUCCGAAAUGA
Ornithodoros turicata is the source of this 539-nucleotide long non-coding RNA. RefSeq lists it as uncharacterized. The transcript has 3 exons. NCBI's taxonomy places the organism in Eukaryota, Metazoa, Arthropoda, Arachnida, Ixodida, Argasidae. The record is from RefSeq and is a predicted model, not a curated record.